GUCGAGAAUCUUCCGCAAUGCGCGAAAGCGUGACGGAGCGACACCGCGUGAUGGAUGAAGUCCUUCGGGGCGUAAACAUCUUUUAUAAAGGAGGAAAUUUUUGACGUUACUUUAUGAAUAAGGGGCUCCCAAUCUCGUGCCAGCAGGAGCGGUAAUACGAGAGCCUCAAGCGUUAUCCGGAAUCAUUGGGCGUAAAGGGUGCGUAGGUGGUUUGAUUAGUCUACCGUUAAAACUUCGAGCUUAACUCGAAAAGAGCGGGGGAAACGGUCAAACUAGAGUAUGUGAGAGGUGUGUGGAACUCAUGGUGUAGGGGUGAAAUCCGUUGAUAUCAUGGGGAACACCAAAAGCGAAGGCAGCACACUGGCACAUCACUGACACUGAGGCACGAAACCUAAGGUAGCGAAUGGGAUUAGAUACCCCAGUAGUCC
This 428-nucleotide ribosomal RNA is filed under the name uncultured bacterium. Its description in RNAcentral is "partial 16S ribosomal RNA". It matches the Rfam family "Bacterial small subunit ribosomal RNA", at positions 354 to 796 of the family's 1533-position model. The record is from RNAcentral.